GACGAACGCUGGCGGCGUGCUUAACACAUGCAAGUCGAACGAAGAGCGAUGGAAGCUUGCUUCUAUCAAUCUUAGUGGCGCACGGGUGAGUAACGCGUAAUCAACCUGCCCUUCAGAGGGGGACAACAGUUGGAAACGACAGCUAAUACCGCAUACGAUCUAAUCUCGGAAUCGAGGAUAGAUGAAAGGUGGCCUCGACAUGUAAGCCAUCACUGAAGGAGGGGAUUGCGUCGGAUUAGCUAGUAGGAGGGGUAACGGCCCACCAAGGCGAGGGGCAGUAGACGGGCUGAGAGGGUGAACGGCGACAUUGGGACUGAGACACGGCCCCGACUCCUACGGGAGGCGGCGGUGGGGAAACUUCCGCAAAGGAGGAAAGACUGUCGGAGAGACGCCGCGCGAGCGAGGACGGCCUUCGGGUUGUGAAGCUCUGUUAGUCGGGACGAAAGGCCUUCUUGCGAAUAGUGAGAAGGAUUGACGGUACCGGAAUAGAAAGCCACGGCUAACUACGUG
RNAcentral lists this ribosomal RNA (510 nucleotides) under uncultured bacterium. Its description in RNAcentral is "partial 16S ribosomal RNA". It matches the Rfam family "Bacterial small subunit ribosomal RNA", at positions 28 to 507 of the family's 1533-position model. The record is from RNAcentral.